GAUGAAGAACGUAGCGAAAUGCGAUAAGUAAUGUGAAUUGCAGAAUUCAGUGAAUCAUCGAAUCUUUGAACGCACAUUGCGCCCGCCAGUAUUCUGGCGGGCAUGCCUGUUCGAGCGUCAUUUCAACCAUCAAGCCCCGGGCUUGUGUUGGGGACCUGCGGCUGCCGUAGGCCCUGAAAAGCAGUGGCGGGCUCGCUGUCACACCGAGCGUAGUAGCAUAUAUCUCGCUCUGGGCGUGCUGCGGGUUCCGGCCGUUAAACCACCUUUUAACCCAAGGUUGACCUCGGAUCAGGUAGGAAGACCCGCUGAACUUAAGCAUAUCAAUAAGCGGAGGA
RNAcentral lists this unclassified non-coding RNA (335 nucleotides) under soil metagenome. RNAcentral's name for it is "partial contains 5.8S ribosomal RNA, internal transcribed spacer 2, and large subunit ribosomal RNA". The stretch from base 1 to 120 matches the Rfam family "5.8S ribosomal RNA", at positions 35 to 154 of the family's 154-position model. The record is from RNAcentral.